Molecule: long non-coding RNA, 2553 nt
Organism: Chroicocephalus ridibundus (black-headed gull)
Lineage: Eukaryota; Metazoa; Chordata; Aves; Charadriiformes; Laridae
Exons: 16
Source: RefSeq, a predicted model, not a curated record
CCCGAGUCAGGCAGUGGAUGCUGCAGAACUUUGUUUAAAGAAAAACUACGCGAGGAAGAAACAUGACGGCAGUUCAGGAGCAAUCGGGAGUGAAAAAGGUCACACGGAAAAAAAAAAAAAAAAAAAAAAAAAAAAAAGCAACUUAGCCCUUUGGGGUCUGGACUCUAAAUUUAAUUAAAGGGAAGGUUUUCAGCCGGCUGCUUCCCCGCCCUCCCCCGGACCCGUCCUGCCCGAGGACCGACAAGGGCUGCCCCAACCAGAGAGCUGCGGGGAAAAUAAACCCAUGAAGCAAAUGGAGUAUCAAAAGGGUGCUUAGCUCUUCCAGCAAUAUUAUUCAUCGGUUCAUCUCACAGCCUUUCAGAAAGGAGCACCAUUCCGACCAUCUCAGAGAAGUAGUUAUCUUGGACUGUGGAUACACACCGGUACCCUGGUUCACUCACGGCACAGUAAAUCAUGCUGCAGCAGGGCUUUCAGAAAGGUGUCAGCUGAUGCCCAUUAGAGACCAGCCAGACGGUGAGGUACCAUAAUGCCUCAGCAGGAGCCACAGGAGCAUUAUCUCUGGAUGUACAACUAGGUAUCCGCUUUGAAAAAGUCAUGACCUAACUGUCUCAGUGUUAGAUCUGAAAGUAAUAAGCCCCAAAAGUGCUCCUACCUGGUGUUUCCUUUUAUAACUGAGACAUGCCUCUAACAUGGCCAUUAAAUCGGUUUUGUGUGUGACAAACUAAUUUUAUCAAGGAAUGACAUAUAAUUUCUUGGUGGAUACUUGCUAUGAUGCUGCAGCCCAUGUCCAUGUCAUCCACCUACUUCCAGAAGAGGGGUUGUGGCCACCAGCAGCAGCACCUUCUGCACCCCACAGCAGCUGGGCUGAGUAACUUCCCUUCCUCCAGGAGAGGCAAGAAGAUAAGAGAGACGUGAGGUUUCCCACGAAAGCCACGUCGGCUGCUCCGGAGCCUUCCCUGGUGGUGCCGUUCCAGGUGGCUGAUCUUUCACUUCUUGUCUCAAGAACUGGACUGGGCUUGACAACCUCCCAUUCCCCAGGACCUACAGGAGCUGCAGUUAAUUAAUCUUUUCUUCUUUCAAAGGGAAUUUCACAGCAUUAUGUUGGGGAAGUCCAAGAACAGACCAGUAAAGCUGAGUAAGGUUGGAGAAUUGAAUCCUUCGAGGAAGAUCCUCGCAACUCUGCAAAGAUACGGAUAUAGUUGGAGGGAUGAACGAGGCGGUCGGUGUGUGGGCUGUCUGUUCAGAAGACCCAGGAGGAGGUGGCUGCUCCAUGGCAGACAUACAGACAUGUACGUCUGAAGACCAACAGAAGACCAGCUGGUGGGAGGCAGGAUCGUACAGACGACUUUUCCACAAAUGGCACAGACACGGUACUAGAAACGCAGGAAGAUUGAUAUUUGGAAAAAUGAUGGACUUCAAAAGUAACUUUGGAUUCUCUGACCUGCUUCACUAAUGCACACUGGUGUAAAACUAAGGUGGGUGGAAAGUGCAAUUCGCAGAGAAGGAAAGGUGGAUGCAUGUCCUGAAGCUUCAUGACACCAACCAUGACCCCUCAGCCAAGCACUCUGGUUGCUGGAGCUGUCUCCUCCUCUACCAACCUGUUAAGCCUGGCAAACCUAAAACGUGGCACAUAAAGUUUUCAUAGCUGCGUUAGGCUGCAGAAGACUUCCUGGCCCAGAUUCCAACCCCUGACACCUCCAGUUCACCUGCCAAGAGCUCCUGAUGCCAAACACGGUGACAGUCUUCAAUCCACUGUGCCUUCCAGGCUCACAGCUUGGUCAAGGCAACCAACCUUCGGUGCAAAAGGGUUCUUAAAGAAAGGAAAAGUGCAAAAGAUGGAGCCUGAGAGAAACAUCUAUGGGAGAUGAAGGAGAAAAUCCUGGAGUUUUGUAUUAUUCACUUCACUGAGUACAGCUGAAUUCCUGAAAACUUCUAUAAGUGAGUAAAAUAAGAGAGUGAGAAUGGGCAUGAGGAAGUGCUCCAUCUGCGUCCCGUCCCCUCUGUCCCCAGACUGGAUCAACUAUACUUCUGCUCUGUCUGAAAAGAUAUUUAUCUGCUCUGUUCCUGCAGGCUGGAAUAUUGGACACGUCUUACAAGUGUUUGAAUGUUGCUUUCCCCUUUCAGGAUGAUUAUCUGUCCUCUAUUGUAAGAAGUUCCGGCCACCUGGAACCUGAAAAGGCCUUUACACCAGUAAAUCUGUUACCUGCUCUCGUGCCCAUAGGGUCUGAGACAAGCCAAUGAAAGACCAUGAGACUCUUUCUAACAAUAUCACUGGCCUAAAUUGUCAUGGGAUCCUUUCACUGCAUGUAUUGAGGGAUAGAAAAGUUCUUCAGGAAUUUAGACUAAUAGGUGGAUGUAGCAUGAAAAGACAGACAAGGAUGGAAAAAAUAGCUACACUGGUCGCAUGCAGCAAACAAAUGUUUAUGUUUAAAGAUGACCACUGCCAGCAUGAGCAACUUUUGCCUCUCUGAGCUUGGAGUUCAUAAUGCCAUUUGAGCAUUGUAAGCCCUCGAGUACUGAAACAAGGUGAACAUUCAGCUCCAGAAAUUUCAA